Molecule: ribosomal RNA, 492 nt
Filed under: uncultured bacterium
Lineage: Bacteria
Description: partial 16S ribosomal RNA
Rfam family: Bacterial small subunit ribosomal RNA
Source: RNAcentral
AGUGAACGCUGGCGGUAGGCCUAACACAUGCAAGUCGAACGGUAGCACAGUAAGAGCUUGCUCUUACGGGUGGCGAGUGGCGGACGGGUGAGGAAUACAUCGGAAUCUACUUUUUCGUGGGGGAUAACGUAGGGAAACUUACGCUAAUACCGCAUACGACCUAUGGGUGAAAGCAGGGGAUCUUCGGACCUUGCGCGAUUGAAUGAGCCGAUGUCGGAUUAGCUAGUUGGCGGGGUAAAGGCCCACCAAGGCGACGAUCCGUAGCUGGUCUGAGAGGAUGAUCAGCCACACUGGAACUGAGACACGGUCCAGACUCCUACGGGAGGCAGCAGUGGGGAAUAUUGGACAAUGGGCGCAAGCCUGAUCCAGCCAUACCGCGUGGGUGAAGAAGGCCUUCGGGUUGUAAAGCCCUUUUGUUGGGAAAGAAAAGCAGCAGGUUAAUACCCCGCUGUUCUGACGGUACCCAAAGAAUAAGCACCGGCUAACUUCGUG